Long non-coding RNA from Cavia porcellus (domestic guinea pig), 536 nucleotides. RefSeq lists it as uncharacterized. The transcript is spliced from 3 exons. The record is from RefSeq and is a predicted model, not a curated record. Lineage: Eukaryota; Metazoa; Chordata; Mammalia; Rodentia; Caviidae.
CUCUGCCCGGGGCUCAGCGCCAUUCACAGACCAGGGGUAGAGAGAGCAAUGGACACAUCAGCCAGCAAACCCAGUCUGGGAACCAGCACCCUGCGUGCACAGCCGGCCCCCGGCCCCUUCUGGUGCGCGGGCUGUCAGACAAGAAGUAGUGAUCCCCCACCCUUCGCCAUAAGCAACUGGCUUCUCUGGAGAAACACAGCUGUGGUGAUAGCUGUGCAGAUUUUUUAAGAGAGAGGAUGCUCCAGCCAAACCAGCCUCAUACCAAGAAAGAAGACACAAAUCCUAGCAAGAGACGACCCGAACCGAGAGAAGAGAAGGGCCCGGCAGCUGCCCAGCAGGCGCAGGACGUUUCAGCACUGCGGGCUGCAGGUGCUUCCAUCUCCCUGCAAACGACCCCGGGGUGUUCUGACUGCGGACUUGGACUGCACUGCGGUAGAGAUCAGUCAUUGAUGUCGCUGAUCCACCAGCGAUGGGUGACAGGUGCAGGCUGCUUCCCCCACACUCAGCGCCCUGACCCCUCCCACCCCAACGUCCCC